CCUACGGGUGGCUGCAGUGGGGAAUAUUGGACAAUGGGCGAAAGCCUGAUCCAGCCAUGCCGCGUGUGUGAAGAAGGCCUUCGGGUUGUAAAGCACUUUCAGUGGGGAAGAAAGCCUUGGGGCUAAUACCCUCGAGGAAGGACAUCACCCACAGAAGAAGCACCGGCUAACUCCGUGCCAGCAGCCGCGGUAGUACGGAGGGUGCGAGCGUUAAUCGGAAUUACUGGGCGUAAAGCGCGCGUAGGCGGUCUGAUAAGCCGGUUGUGAAAGCCCCGGGCUCAACCUGGGAACGGCAUCCGGAACUGUCAGGCUAGAGUGCAGGAGAGGAAGGUAGAAUUCCCGGUGUAGCGGUGAAAUGCGUAGAGAUCGGGAGGAAUACCAGUGGCGAAGGCGGCCUUCUGGACUGACACUGACGCUGAGGUGCGAAAGCGUGGGUAGCAAACAGGAUUAGAUACCCUAGUAGUC
This 465-nucleotide ribosomal RNA is filed under the name Vreelandella stevensii. RNAcentral's name for it is "partial 16S ribosomal RNA". It matches the Rfam family "Bacterial small subunit ribosomal RNA", at positions 338 to 795 of the family's 1533-position model. Lineage: Bacteria; Pseudomonadati; Pseudomonadota; Gammaproteobacteria; Oceanospirillales; Halomonadaceae. The record is from RNAcentral.